Molecule: non-coding RNA, 87 nt
Organism: Polychaeton citri CBS 116435
Lineage: Eukaryota; Fungi; Ascomycota; Dothideomycetes; Capnodiales; Capnodiaceae
Source: the annotation of a GenBank genome assembly
GGUGGAUUGGUCUAGUGGUAUGACGCCUCGUUUACAAUCGCCUUGAUUGAGCCGAGUAGGUCGCGAGUUCGAGCCUCGCAUUCACCU